Molecule: ribosomal RNA, 918 nt
Filed under: uncultured bacterium
Lineage: Bacteria
Description: bacterial SSU rRNA
Rfam family: Bacterial small subunit ribosomal RNA
Source: RNAcentral
AGAGUUUGAUCAUGGCUCAGGACGAACGCUGGCGGCGUGCUUAAUACAUGCAAGUCGAGCGAGGUUACUGUUUUGGAUCCCUUCGGGGUGAAGAAGCUUUAACCUAGCGGCGGACGGGUGAGUAACGCGUGGGUAACCUACCCCAAAGUCCGGGAUAACAGCGGGAAACCGCUGCUAAUACCGGAUGCCUUUACCUUGGGGCAUCUUGAGGUAAAGAAAGGUAACGCUUUGGGAUGGGCCCGCGUCCCAUUAGCUAGUUGGUGAGGUAACGGCUCACCAAGGCGACGAUGGGUAGCCGGCCUGAGAGGGUGGACGGCCACACUGGGACUGAGACACGGCCCAGACUCCUACGGGAGGCAGCAGUAGGGAAUAUUGCGCAAUGGACGGAAGUCUGACGCAGCGACGCCGCGUGAGCGAUGAAGGUCUUCGGAUCGUAAAGCUCUGUCCUUGGGGAAGAAGGUCUUCGGACUUGACGGUACCCAAGAAGAAAGCCCCGGCUAACUACGUGCCAGCAGCCGCGGUAAUACGUAGGGGGCGAGCGUUGUCCGGAAUUACUGGGCGUAAAGGGUGCGUAGGCGGCCCUUUAAGUCGGAUGUGAAAGCCCGCGGCUUAACCGCGGAAUGGCAUUCGAAACUGGAGGGCUUGAGUGUCGGAGAGGGUAGUGGAAUUCCCAGUGUAGCGGUGAAAUGCGUAGAUAUUGGGAGGAACACCAGUGGCGAAGGCGACUACCUGGACGAUAACUGACGCUGAGGCACGAAAGCUAGGGGAGCAAACAGGAUUAGAUACCCUGGUAGUCCUAGCCGUAAACGAUGGGUACUAGGUGUGGGUGGUUUCGAUACCAUCCGUGCCGUAGUUAACGCAUUAAGUACCCCGCCUGGGGAGUACGGUCGCAAGGCUGAAACUUAAAUGAAUUGACGG